CCUACGGGCGGCUGCAGUGGGGAAUAUUGCACAAUGGGCGCAAGCCUGAUGCAGCCAUGCCGCGUGUGUGAAGAAGGCCUUCGGGUUGUAAAGCACUUUCAGCGGGGAGGAAGGCGGUGAGGUUAAUAACCUCAUCGAUUGACGUUACCCGCAGAAGAAGCACCGGCUAACUCCGUGCCAGCAGCCGCGGUAAUACGGAGGGUGCAAGCGUUAAUCGGAAUUACUGGGCGUAAAGCGCACGCAGGCGGUCUGUCAAGUCGGAUGUGAAAUCCCCGGGCUCAACCUGGGAACUGCAUUCGAAACUGGCAGGCUAGAGUCUUGUAGAGGGGGGUAGAAUUCCAGGUGUAGCGGUGAAAUGCGCAGAGAUCUGGAGGAAUACCGGUGGCGAAGGCGGCCCCCUGGACAAAGACUGACGCUCAGGUGCGAAAGCGUGGGGAGCAAACAGGAUUAGAUACCCCUGUAGUC
Molecule: ribosomal RNA, 465 nt
Filed under: uncultured Klebsiella sp.
Lineage: Bacteria; Pseudomonadati; Pseudomonadota; Gammaproteobacteria; Enterobacterales; Enterobacteriaceae
Description: bacterial SSU rRNA
Rfam family: Bacterial small subunit ribosomal RNA
Source: RNAcentral